This 267-nucleotide ribosomal RNA is filed under the name uncultured bacterium. RNAcentral describes it as "partial 16S ribosomal RNA". It matches the Rfam family "Bacterial small subunit ribosomal RNA", at positions 793 to 1055 of the family's 1533-position model. The record is from RNAcentral.
GUCCACGCCGUAAACGAUGAUAACUAGCUGUCAGGGGCCAUGGGCUUUUGGUGGCGCAGCUAACGCAUUAAGUUAUCCGCCUGGGGAGUACGGCCGCAAGGUUAAAACUCAAAGAAAUUGACGGGGGCCUGCACAAGCGGUGGAGCAUGUGGUUUAAUUCGAAGCAACGCGCAGAACCUUACCAGCGUUUGACAUCCUCAUCGCGGAUUAGAGAGAUCUUUUCCUUCAGUUCGGCUGGAUGAGUGACAGGUGCUGCAUGGCUGUCGU